This 471-nucleotide ribosomal RNA is filed under the name Hepatozoon felis. RNAcentral's name for it is "SSU rRNA". It matches the Rfam family "Eukaryotic small subunit ribosomal RNA", at positions 486 to 954 of the family's 1831-position model. Lineage: Eukaryota; Apicomplexa; Hepatozoidae. The record is from RNAcentral.
CAAGGCAGUUAAAAUGCUUUGUAAUUGGAAUGAUAGAAAUUUAAACACUUUUUAAAGUAUCAAUUGGAGGGCAAGUCUGGAGCCAGCAGCCGCGGUAAUUCCAGCUCCAAUAGCGUAUAUUAAAAUUGUUGCAGUUAAAAAGCUCGUAGUUGAAUUUCUGCUAAAAAUAACCGGUCUGCUUUUAAUAAAGGUGGUAUCUUGGUGUGUUUUUAGCAAUAAUGUCCUUUGAAAUGUUUUUUACUUCAUUGUAAUAAAUUAUAUUUAGGAUUUUUACUUUGAGAAAAUUAGAGUGUUUCUAGCAGGCUAAUGCUUUGAAUACUGCAGCAUGGAAUAAUAAAAUAGGAUUUUGGUUCUACAUUAUUGGUUUUAAGAGCUAAAUUAAUGAUUGAUAGGGACAGUUGGGGGCAUUUGUAUUUAACUGUCAGAGGUGAAAUUCUUAGAUUUGUUAAAGACAAACUACUGCGAAAGCAU